UACGAAGGGGGCUAGCGUUGCUCGGAAUGACUGGGCGUAAAGGGCGCGUAGGCGGUUCAUACAGUCAGAUGUGAAAUUCCUGGGCUCAACCUGGGGGCUGCAUUUGAUACGUGUGGACUAGAGUGGGGAAGAGGGUCGUGGAAUUCCCAGUGUAGAGGUGAAAUUCGUAGAUAUUGGGAAGAACACCGGUGGCGAAGGCGGCGACCUGGUCCGUUGACUGACGCUGAGGCGCGACAGCGUGGGGAGUCAAACAGG
Molecule: ribosomal RNA, 255 nt
Filed under: uncultured bacterium
Lineage: Bacteria
Description: partial 16S ribosomal RNA
Rfam family: Bacterial small subunit ribosomal RNA
Source: RNAcentral